GUACUGGAAAUUUUCAAACGUGUAUUUGUCAGAUCUUCUUUGACGCAUCUUAAAUAGCCUGGCACCACGGUUACUGAGAUGGGAUAAUUCUUCCAACAUGAUGUCUCUGGGGAUGCUGACCUUUUUGCCCAGGUCCAUGCCAUCAACAUCUGUAAAACAAUAUUCAUAUGAGUAAAAAUCUCAAGAGAUUCAUCUCAAAGACUCACCAGCUGCAAUCUCUUUCCCCUAUAAGAAUGGGAUUGAAUUUCCACCUCAUGUUAAGAGAACAACAAGUGAUUUAGCUAACUCAUUGUCACAUUUUAUACUCCUCCAAGCUAAAUGUUUUUGUUAAGAUAAAAGUCAAAUGGGAGUGACAGAAACCCCCCCAAAACAGAACUGUAAAAAGAUGGAAGAUGUUUCUCUCACAGACCCCAGACUCAGUCGGUAGAGGGAGAGAUGGCUGGACCUUAGAGGAGACGGCCAGACUUCAGAGUGACAGCUGGACUUCGAGGGAGAGGGACAGACUACAGAAGAGAUGACGUGACUUCAGGGGAAGACAACCUGCCCAUCCCGUUCGCUCUCUAGCUCCUCUCUCCAC
Symphalangus syndactylus (siamang) is the source of this 577-nucleotide long non-coding RNA. RefSeq lists it as uncharacterized. The record is from RefSeq and is a predicted model, not a curated record. Lineage: Eukaryota; Metazoa; Chordata; Mammalia; Primates; Hylobatidae.